GACGAACCGUGCGAACGUUAUUCGGAAUCACUGGGCUUAAAGGGCGCGUAGGCGGGCGAUCAAGUCCGAGGUGAAAUCCUCCAGCUUAACUGGAGAAGUGCCCCGGAUACUGGUCGUCUCGAGGAGGGUAGGGGCAUCUGGAACAUUGGGUGGAGCGGUGAAAUGCGUUGAUAUCCAAUGGAACUCCGAUGGCGAAGGCAAGGUGCUGGACCCUUUCUGACGCUGAGGCGCGAAAGCCAGGGGAGCGAACGGG
Molecule: ribosomal RNA, 253 nt
Filed under: uncultured bacterium
Lineage: Bacteria
Description: partial 16S ribosomal RNA
Rfam family: Bacterial small subunit ribosomal RNA
Source: RNAcentral